AGAGAAAGCCGCAGAGGCAUGGUCCUU
This 27-nucleotide non-coding RNA is filed under the name Homo sapiens (human). The record is from RNAcentral. Lineage: Eukaryota; Metazoa; Chordata; Mammalia; Primates; Hominidae.